UUGAAGAGUUUGAUCAUGGCUCAGAUUGAACGCUGGCGGCAGGCCUAACACAUGCAAGUCGAACGGUAACAGGAUGUGCUUGCACAUCGCUGACGAGUGGCGGACGGGUGAGUAAUGCUUGGGAACUUGCCUUUGCGAGGGGGAUAACAGUUGGAAACGACUGCUAAUACCGCAUAAUGUCUUCGGACCAAACGGGGCUUCGGCUCCGGCGCAAAGAGAGGCCCAAGUGAGAUUAGCUAGUUGGUAAGGUAACGGCUUACCAAGGCGACGAUCUCUAGCUGUUCUGAGAGGAAGAUCAGCCACACUGGGACUGAGACACGGCCCAGACUCCUACGGGAGGCAGCAGUGGGGAAUAUUGGACAAUGGGGGCAACCCUGAUCCAGCCAUGCCGCGUGUGUGAAGAAGGCCCUAGGGUUGUAAAGCACUUUAAGCUGGGAAGAUGGUGCGUGUGAUUAAUACUCACAUGUAUAGACGGUACCAGCAGAAUAAGCACCGGCUAACUCCGUGCCAGCAGCCGCGGUAAUACGGAGG
This 531-nucleotide ribosomal RNA is filed under the name Symbiodinium sp. CCMP2430. RNAcentral describes it as "partial Bacterial small subunit ribosomal RNA". It matches the Rfam family "Bacterial small subunit ribosomal RNA", at positions 1 to 531 of the family's 1533-position model. The record is from RNAcentral. Lineage: Eukaryota; Dinophyceae; Suessiales; Symbiodiniaceae.